GUGGGGAAUAUUGCGCAAUGGGGGAAACCCUGACGCAGCAACGCCGCGUGAGUGAGGAAGGACUUCGGUCUGUAAAGCUCUGUUAAUGUGGAAAAAUGGUAGUUGGUCUAAUAGGCCGAUUAUUUGAUGGUACACAUAGAGGAAGCACCGGCUAACUUCGUGCCAGCAGCCGCGGUAAUACGAAGGGUGCAAGCGUUGUUCGGAUUUAUCGGGCGUAAAGCGCGCGUAGGCGGACCUGCAAGUCAGAUGUGAAAUCUCGGGGCUCAACCUCGAAACUGCGUCUGAAACUACAGGUCUAGAAUCUCGGAGGGGGAAGGGGAAUAUCGCAUGUAGGGGUAAAAUCCGUAGAUAUGCGAUGGAACACCAGAGGCGAAGGCGCCUUCCUGGACGAGUAUUGACGCUGAGGCGCGAAAGCGUGGGGAUCAAACAGGAUUAGAAACCCCAGUAGUCC
RNAcentral lists this ribosomal RNA (451 nucleotides) under uncultured bacterium. RNAcentral's name for it is "bacterial SSU rRNA". It matches the Rfam family "Bacterial small subunit ribosomal RNA", at positions 354 to 796 of the family's 1533-position model. The record is from RNAcentral.